Non-coding RNA from Triticum aestivum (bread wheat), 135 nucleotides. The record is from Rfam. NCBI's taxonomy places the organism in Eukaryota, Viridiplantae, Streptophyta, Magnoliopsida, Poales, Poaceae.
UUCAUACUCCCUCCGUCCCAAAAUUCUUGUCUUAAAUUUGUCUAGAUAUGGAUGUAUCUAAUACUAAAAUGUGACUUGAUACAUCCGUAUUUAGACAAAUCUAAGACAAGAAUUUUGGGACAGAGAGAGUAUCAU